AUACAUGCAAGUCGAACGCUUUUUUCAAUCAUCGUAGCUUGCUACACCGAUUGAAAAUUGAGUGGCGAACGGGUGAGUAACACGUGGGUAACCUGCCCAAAAGAGGGGGAUAACACUUGGAAACAGGUGCUAAUACCGCAUAACCAUGAUGACCGCAUGGUCAUUAUGUAAAAGAUGGUUUCGGCUAUCACUUUUGGAUGGACCCGCGGCGUAUUAACUUGUUGGUGGGGUAACGGCCUACCAAGGUAAUGAUACGUAGCCGAACUGAGAGGUUGAUCGGCCACAUUGGGACUGAGACACGGCCCAAACUCCUACGGGAGGGCAGCAGUAGGGAAUCUUCCACAAUGGGCGCAAGCCUGAUGGAGCAACGCCGCGUGAGUGAAGAAGGUCUUCGGAUCGUAAAACUCUGUUGUUAGAGAAGAACAUGCAGGAGAGUAACUGUUCUUGUAUUGACGGUAUCUAACCAGAAAGCCACGGCUAACUACGUGCCAGCAGCCGCGGUAAUACGUAGGUGGCAAGCGUUGUCCGGAUUUAUUGGGCGU
This 542-nucleotide ribosomal RNA is filed under the name Lactobacillus sp. DumLac45. RNAcentral describes it as "bacterial SSU rRNA". It matches the Rfam family "Bacterial small subunit ribosomal RNA", at positions 51 to 561 of the family's 1533-position model. The record is from RNAcentral. Lineage: Bacteria; Bacillati; Bacillota; Bacilli; Lactobacillales; Lactobacillaceae.